This 398-nucleotide ribosomal RNA is filed under the name uncultured bacterium. RNAcentral describes it as "bacterial SSU rRNA". It matches the Rfam family "Bacterial small subunit ribosomal RNA", at positions 28 to 420 of the family's 1533-position model. The record is from RNAcentral.
GACGAACGCUGGCGGCGUGCCUAACACAUGCAAGUCGAACGAGAUCCAUGGGAGCUUGCUCCCGGAAGAUCUAGUGGCGAACGGGUGAGUAACACGUGAGAAACCUGCCCUGGAGUGGGGAAUAACUCGGGGAAACUCGAGCUAAUACCGCAUACCCUCGGAUGGUCGCAUGGCCGACCGAGGAAAGAUUUAUCGCUCUAGGAGGGUCUCGCGGCCUAUCAGCUAGUUGGUGGGGUAACGGCCUACCAAGGCAACGACGGGUAGCUGGUUUGAGAGAACGAUCAGCCACACUGGGACUGAGACACGGCCCAGACUCCUACGGGAGGCAGCAGUGGGGAAUCUUGCGCUAUGGGCGAAAGCCUGACGCAGCAACGCCGCGUGCGGGAUGACGGCCUCGU